Molecule: non-coding RNA, 384 nt
Organism: Arachis ipaensis
Lineage: Eukaryota; Viridiplantae; Streptophyta; Magnoliopsida; Fabales; Fabaceae
Source: RefSeq, a predicted model, not a curated record
CGCGUCAGUCACUAUCGUGCUUCCUGGUUGCUGAUGAGGGAGCCGCGAGAACCGUUGCCGUCGCGGAAGAGGGGGACACGCGUGAGGGAGCCGUAACGGUGGUCGCCAUUGUCGCUGUUGAGUACAUGUUCAUGCUUUUUCAGAACCGAUGGAAGGAGAGAACCGCAAGUACCGUCAAGUUCCCGAAGAACAAGGUUACUCGCAAGAAUUUUCUUCUGCUGCAGCAGAUUCCAUUCAUUCAGUCUUAUGCGGAGAUGUCAACCAAGUUAUCCACAUUUUUUGUCAGUGUUUUCGUUGGGUUAUGCAAGUUAUUUGUCUCGUUUUGUUGUUAUUGGAUUUAAUACUUUGUAUGGUUUAUUGUGGAUCUUCCAAAAAAUACUUUGU